Molecule: ribosomal RNA, 404 nt
Filed under: Fusobacteriota bacterium
Lineage: Bacteria; Fusobacteriati; Fusobacteriota
Description: Fusobacteria bacterium partial 16S ribosomal RNA
Rfam family: Bacterial small subunit ribosomal RNA
Source: RNAcentral
UGGGGAAUAUUGCACAAUGGAGGGAACUCUGAUGCAGCGACGCCGCGUGAGUGAUGAAGGAAUUCGUUUCGUAAAACUCUGUUCUAUGGGAAGAAAAGGACUGUACCAUAGGAGAAAGCUCCGGCUAAAUACGUGCCAGCAGCCGCGGUAAUACGUAUGGAGCGAGCGUUGUCCGGAAUUAUUGGGCGUAAAGGGUGCGCAGGCGGCUUUACAAGUUGGAUGUGAAAUAUUGUGGCUCAACCACAAACGUGCAUCCAAAACUGCAAAGCUUGAGUUAAGGAGAGGUAAGUGGAAUUCCUUGUGUAGCGGUGGAAUGCGUAGAUAUCAGGAGGAAUACCGGUGGCGAAGGCGACUUACUGGACUUACACUGACGCUCAGGCACGAAAGCGUGGGGAGCAAACAGG